UUUUUAUUAGAUGAUGUCUGUCACGUGUCAUAUUUUGAUUCGUCAAUGAAAAUAAUAAUAAUACAUUUCUUUUUUUAUGGAGUUGAAAUCCAAUUAAAAGGAAUGAAACUGUUAUGUUAAUGUACC
Non-coding RNA from Glycine soja, 126 nucleotides. NCBI's taxonomy places the organism in Eukaryota, Viridiplantae, Streptophyta, Magnoliopsida, Fabales, Fabaceae. The record is from Rfam.